Papaver somniferum (opium poppy) is the source of this 682-nucleotide long non-coding RNA. RefSeq lists it as uncharacterized. The transcript has 4 exons. Lineage: Eukaryota; Viridiplantae; Streptophyta; Magnoliopsida; Ranunculales; Papaveraceae. The record is from RefSeq and is a predicted model, not a curated record.
GAUAUAAACUCAAUAUUUUAAAUGGAAAAAUUAUCCUUUUUAUUCCUCUUCAUUUAUUUCCAUUUUUUCUCUCUCGUUGUCGUCUGUGUUAGAAAAGAGAUUCGGAUGUGAGAGUCGUAAGGUUUCCUAUACUUCAUGCAGUGUUUAUAAGAGGCGGUUGCAUUGAUAUAGCUUGGAUUAACAUGAGAAAUUUGGAUAUGACAAUGAACUUCAGGCAUUACAGGUAUAGGACAAUGUGGGAGAAAUUUAUUACAUAUUUUGCCUAUUGUGAUUUCGCAGUUGUUGAUGGGGAAAAACGAUUCGCUGGUUUUUUAGGGAAUGGAGUGACGACCGUGUAACGGAGGCUCCUUCAACCGAGCGAACUGCUUAACCUCAAACAGAUGCACUGCACGGAAGUGCUUUGAGUUUGAGAGAUCAAUCUGUAGGACUCCGGCCUAAACCAAGUCAAUGGUCGUUCCAGAGUCAAUUCGGUCACAAAGAGGGAAGAGGGUUGAUCUGUAGGAGGGAGGCUAAGAAGUGUGUGAGAUCAAUGAUGAUCAAGGAUUGUGAAUGUGUUGUGGGUUUCUGCAAGUUUUCUGAGAACUGUUGAGUUCAAAUAAGUUCUGGUUGAUUGAUGAAUUCUUGAGAGUGAUUACUCGAAAACUUAUCAUGUUUCAAUCAUGGAUUCAGAUACUUAUUUAUA